AGCCUUAGGAAAUUUUAUCUAAGGUUAAACCUGCCCAAUGUUUAAUUAUCAAUGGCCGCGGUACUUUGACCGUGCUAAGGUAGCGCAAUCAAUUGGCUUUUAAUUGAAGCCAUGUAUGAAUGGAAUUACGGGGUUAAGCUGUCUCCUAGCUACUUUAUUGAAAUUACUAUUUAGGUGAAAAAGCCUAAGAAGAGAAAAAAGACGAGAAGACCCUUAGAGUUUUUCCAAAACCAGAAACCGUUUCUGAGACAGUUUAGUUGGGGCAACAUAGGAACAAGAACAAUUUUAACCUCCUGAAAAACACCUACCGAUAUUAAUAAACAUGAAUAAACUACCUUAGGGAUAACAGCAUAAUUUUAUAAAUAAGUUUGUGACCUCGAUGUUGGACUAGGAAACUGAAAGGCUAGCCGCCUUUUAGGAAAGUUCUGUUCGAACUAUUAUUCCU
This 445-nucleotide ribosomal RNA is filed under the name Halgerda biqiea. RNAcentral's name for it is "partial large subunit ribosomal RNA". It matches the Rfam family "Archaeal large subunit ribosomal RNA", at positions 1917 to 2665 of the family's 2987-position model. The record is from RNAcentral. Lineage: Eukaryota; Metazoa; Mollusca; Gastropoda; Nudibranchia; Asteronotidae.